UAGAUAGUAAGGCUCAGCGGUAGAGCAACUCCACUUAGUGGUUUAGUGUCGCAGGUUCGAUUCCUGCCUAUCUAU
This 75-nucleotide transfer RNA is filed under the name Campylobacter hyointestinalis. RNAcentral's name for it is "tRNA-OTHER". It matches the Rfam family "tRNA". Rfam says of the family: Transfer RNA (tRNA) molecules are approximately 80 nucleotides in length. Their secondary structure includes four short double-helical elements and three loops (D, anti-codon, and T loops). Further hydrogen bonds mediate the characteristic L-shaped molecular structure. tRNAs have two regions of fundamental functional importance: the anti-codon, which is responsible for specific mRNA codon recognition, and the 3' end, to which the tRNAs corresponding amino acid is attached (by aminoacyl-tRNA synthetases). tRNAs cope with the degeneracy of the genetic code in two manners: having more than one tRNA (with a specific anti-codon) for a particular amino acid; and 'wobble' base-pairing, i.e. permitting non-standard base-pairing at the 3rd anti-codon position. RNAcentral also lists the same sequence under 1 other name. The record is from RNAcentral. Lineage: Bacteria; Pseudomonadati; Campylobacterota; Epsilonproteobacteria; Campylobacterales; Campylobacteraceae.